AUUGAACGCUGGCGGCAGGCUUAACACAUGCAAGUCGAGCGGAGACUUCGGUCUUAGCGGCGAACGGGUGAGGAAUGCCUGGGAAUCUGCCUGUUAGUGGGGGAUAACGAAUCGAAAGGUUCGCUAAUACCGCAUACGUCCUACGGGAGAAAGCAGGGGGACCUUCGGGCCUUGCGCUAACAGAUGAGCCCAGGUCGGAUUAGCUAGUAGGUGGGGUAAAGGCUCACCUAGGCGACGAUCCGUAGCUGGUCUGAGAGGAUGAUCAGCCACACUGGAACUGAGACACGGUCCAGACUCCUACGGGAGGCAGCAGUGGGGAAUAUUGGACAAUGGGCGAAAGCCUGAUCCAGCCAUGCCGCGUGUGUGAAGAAGGCCUCGGUUGGUUAAAGACGACUUUAA
Molecule: ribosomal RNA, 399 nt
Filed under: uncultured bacterium
Lineage: Bacteria
Description: bacterial SSU rRNA
Rfam family: Bacterial small subunit ribosomal RNA
Source: RNAcentral